Molecule: long non-coding RNA, 1017 nt
Filed under: Olea europaea subsp. europaea
Lineage: Eukaryota; Viridiplantae; Streptophyta; Magnoliopsida; Lamiales; Oleaceae
Source: RNAcentral
GAGAAAGUCCCUGAGGAGCCGAAGAAGAGGAAGUUGGUGCACAUCUCCAGCUCGUCUGGCAAAUUUGGGAGUUCUGUGUCCCAAGGUAAAGAAGCCAGACCGCCAAAGCUAUUGGAAGCCGCCUCGAAAGCAGUUAAGAUUGAAACGGUUAUGCGUGAAGAGGCUGAUGAGGCUAGGGAGGAGGCUGCAAGGAGGUAAGCUGAGGUGGCUGAGGAGGAGGCCGCCAAAGUGAAACCUGUUCAAGUACAAGGGAAGACUCCAAGCUUCCUUGCCGGUAGGGAGGAGCCUCUGGCUCUAGCUUUGGUGGAGGCCCUACCACUUGAGAUCCGAGGCGCCACAGAAUGUUUUUAUAGAUUCUGGAAGGAUCGGUGGCAGCUGCACGCCUCCUCCUGUGAUGCCACGGACUUGACCAGGGCUCUUGCGAGCCAAAGUGUUAGGACUUUUGGCCUUGCACUGGAAUGCAGGGAGGCCCUCACUAACUUUCAGACGAGGACCACCGCCUCAGAAAGGAAGACUGCCUCCCUUGCAGAGAAGCUGAAGGUAGCUAGGGCUGAGGCUAAGGAAGCUAGAGCCCAAAAACUUGAAGAAUCGGCCAAGCUGGAAUCUACCUUAGCUCAGAUAGAGGCAUUGAGGAGGGAGGUACAUGAGUCCCAGUGCGAGGUGGCCUCCUUGACUAAAAAGGUGGAGGUUUCCAAUGACCACCAGAAAAUGACAGCCAAAGCCUUGGAGAAGGCUAACAAGGAGCUGGCAGGGGCCCAAGAUGCAACCAAGUUCAUCGAAGGCCAAAUUAAGUGGUACGUCGAUGAGGUAGCCCAUGCUAGGGAGGAGGUAGUGAAAGACUACAUUGCCAACUUUCACAACACCAAUCAGUACAAGAGCUUUAGCACUUACUAGAGGAACUUUGUUUAUGCCGAGGUGAUGGAGCGGGCUGAGGAGUUGUACCUAAAUCAGAACUUGUCGCAACUCAGUUCGGAGUUUGUGGAUAAGGUACCUCAAACCCCAAUUGGUGAAGCAGUG